ACAGAAGAAGCACCGGCUAACUCCGUGCCAGCAGCCGCGGUAAUACGGAGGGUGCAAGCGUUAAUCGGAAUUACUGGGCGUAAAGCGCGCGUAGGCGGUUAAACAAGUCAGAUGUGAAAGCCCCGGGCUCAACCUGGGAACUGCAUUUGAAACUGUUUAGCUAGAGUGUGGUAGAGGAGAGUGGAAUUUCAGGUGUAGCGGUGAAAUGCGUAGAUAUCUGAAGGAACACCAGUGGCGAAGGCGGCUCUCUGGACCAACACUGACGCUGAGGUGCGAAAGCGUGGGUAGCAAACGGGAUUAGAUACCCCGGUAGUCCACGCCGUAAACGAUGUCAACUAACUGUUGGGCGGGUUUCCGCUUAGUGGUGCAGCUAACGCAAUAAGUUGACCGCCUGGGGAGUACGGCCGCAAGGCUAAAACUCAA
This 423-nucleotide ribosomal RNA is filed under the name uncultured bacterium. Its description in RNAcentral is "bacterial SSU rRNA". It matches the Rfam family "Bacterial small subunit ribosomal RNA", at positions 481 to 904 of the family's 1533-position model. The record is from RNAcentral.